GGGGUAUCGACCCCCCCUGUGCCGCAGCUAACGCAAUAAGUAUUCCGCCUGGGGAGUACGACCGCAAGGUUGAAACUCAAAGGAAUUGACGGGUCCCCGCACAAGCAGCGGAGCAUGUGGUUUAAUUCGAAGCAACGCGAGGAACCUUACCAGGACUUGACAUCCACAGAAUCCUCUGGAAAAGGAGGAGUGCCUUCGGGAACUGUGAGACAGGUGGUGCAUGGUUGUCGUCAGCUCGUGUCGUGAGAUGUUGGGUUAAGUCCCGCAACGAGCGCAACCCUUAUGUUUAGUUACCAGCGGAUAAUGCCGGGGACUCUAGACAAACUGCCGGGGGCAACUCGGAGGAAGGUGGGGACGACGUCAAAUCAUCAUGCUCCUUAUGUCCUGGGCUACACACGUGCUACAAUGGCCAUUACAAAGGGAUGCCACCUCGCAAGAGGGAGCAAAACCGAAAAAGGUGGUCUCAGUUCGGAUUGAGGGCUGCAACCCGCCCUCAUGAAGUUGGAGUUGCUAGUAAUCGCGAAUCAGAACGUCGCGGUGAAUGCGUUCCCGGGGAUUGUACACACCGCCCGUCACACCACGGAAGUUGGGGGCACCCGAAGCCAGUGAGCUAACCGCAAGGAGGCAGCUGUCUAAGGUGAAAUCAAUGACUGGGGUGAAGUCGUAACAAGGUAGCCG
RNAcentral lists this ribosomal RNA (678 nucleotides) under uncultured bacterium. Its description in RNAcentral is "bacterial SSU rRNA". It matches the Rfam family "Bacterial small subunit ribosomal RNA", at positions 826 to 1502 of the family's 1533-position model. The record is from RNAcentral.